CCACCAUAUUCAAAAACCACACUACAGAAAAAUGCACGCCUGCAUUCAAAUGUCAAUACAUGCAAACCCACCCGUAUAUUCACUCACACAUACUCCAUACAAAAACAUGCUUAGAUUCAAACACACAAACAGUGCUUGGUCCUAAAUACAUAAAAAUAAAAACACUGACCUGUGCUAAAGACAUUUAAAAAAUUUGCAGGUGUUUUUUUUUUACAUUUUUUUUAGGGGGGGUGCCAAAUAUAGGGUCCACCCCGGGUGCCAAAUGCUCCAGGUAUGCCUCUGCAC
Pelobates cultripes (western spadefoot toad) is the source of this 285-nucleotide non-coding RNA. Lineage: Eukaryota; Metazoa; Chordata; Amphibia; Anura; Pelobatidae. The record is from the annotation of a GenBank genome assembly.